CUCACUUCUCUUAAACAUUUCACGGUCACAUGAUCUAAGACACAUUUAAAAAGUUAUAGGCGUAAAUGCUCUUUUCGUCCUUACAUUUUGGGGUCAUUUCUAUUUUGAUUCCUAUAUUUCUAUUUUAUCACUUUUAAUCCUAAAUCCAAUUAACGCUUGUUAUUUAAGUCCUUUCCGUCAGCCAACAGACGGAAAUGACUGACGUGGCUAACGGACUGAUUAAAAUAUUAAUAAAAAUCCACCAUUGCUCUUGUCUCCCAUGCCACCUAGGUUUCCCGCCCCAUUUUUCGCACGUGACCCUCACUGCCCCCCCAAAUCAGUACCAAAAACCCAAAAUCCCCCAAAUCAGUACCAGAAACCCUAAACUCCCAAAAUUCGAGCUUCGACUUUUACCCACACAGCUAAUCCUCAUCUCCCAAAACCACGAUCAAAACAAACAAUCUUCGAAGCCCAAUGGAAGCAAGCUGUUCAACAAAUUCCAGUGUGAGAAGGAGAGCACCAAUGACGUGCUACUGUAAUAAAAAACUUGUCCUAGUUGUGACGUGGACUGAAGACAACCCUGGCAGAAGGUUCUAUGGUUGUCCAAACUACUGGAGCAUUAUCUGUGUUUCAGGUGGGGCGGAAGUGUAGGUUCUUCCAAUGGCGUGAUGAUGAGAUAUGUGAACGUGGUAAGGUGUUUAUCCCACAGCAAAGGCAAAGGAUCAUCAAACUUGAGGCUGAGCUUGUAGACUGCAAGAAAAGAGAGAAGUUUUUAGUUGUAGUUGUGGCAUUGUUUGUGGUGAUAUUUGCAGUUCUAUGUUUGCUUAGGUAGGGGGUGGGAAUAACUUGUGUGGGUUGUUGUGCUUGUUAGUGCAUGUAGGGUUGUAGUGUUUAUGUAUGGAGGGUUGCAGUGUUUAUGUAUGGAGGGUUGCAGUGUUAAUGUAUGGAGGGUUGGCAGUGGCAGUGUGCUCUAUUUUAGUAGGAUUAGUUAUUAGCAAUGACACA
RNA transcript from Quercus robur (English oak), 984 nucleotides. RefSeq lists it as uncharacterized. The record is from RefSeq and is a predicted model, not a curated record. NCBI's taxonomy places the organism in Eukaryota, Viridiplantae, Streptophyta, Magnoliopsida, Fagales, Fagaceae. The transcript has 2 exons.